GACGUAGGGGGCGAGCGUUGUCCGGAUUUAUUGGGCGUAAAGAGCUCGUAGGCGGCUCAGAAAGUCGGGUGUGAAACCUCCAGGCUCAACCUGGAGACGCCACCUGAUACUGCUGUGGCUAGAGUCCGGUAGGGGAACACGGAAUUCCCGGUGUAGCGGUGAAAUGCUUAGAUAUCGGGAGGAACACCAGUGGCGAAGGCGGUGUUCUGGGCCGGAACUGACGCUGAGGGGCGAAAGCGUGGGGAGCAAACCGG
RNAcentral lists this ribosomal RNA (254 nucleotides) under uncultured bacterium. RNAcentral's name for it is "partial 16S ribosomal RNA". It matches the Rfam family "Bacterial small subunit ribosomal RNA", at positions 524 to 776 of the family's 1533-position model. The record is from RNAcentral.